UACAAAAAACAGCAAAGGAACAUCAUAUACUGUCUUUUAGUGGGUGUUACCAAUAAUGGUGUUAUCAGUAUAUUUAUUUUAUCCACUAUUUAGAUAAGGUCACCGAUUUUGAUAGCUGCUAACAAAAAUGUAUAAUGGUCAGGCUACAUUUGAUUUUUCAAAAUGGCGCCGUUAAAAAUAUGCCGAAUUAGAUUCUGGAGCGUCUUUUUUCUCUGAUUUCUUGGCGGAUUUAUGGACAUUAACUGGUCGUGAACAUCGGAGAUGAUAACAUCGCUGGGAAGUGUGAGUCGCAUUGAAUUUAAACAAAUGUAACACUAAUGUAGAAGUCACCGACGGGGGUUGGUUGAACAAUGAACAUACACCGACGGUUGGACCGGGUAAAGGACAGAAGAUGGCGCCAACUUCGUCCUCUGUGUUUUACAUUAAUGGCGGACAUGGAGAAGAAGCAGCAGUAAGAAGCAGCAGCGCUAUUUCACGUCAAGAUUAAAGGUAAGAAGUUGAAAUCAGCAUGUUUUUAAAAGUUUUCUUGAUGGUAAUCACAUUCGAGUCAGCAAUAUAUAUUAUAGCCAUCUGUUCUUCUGCAUUUUGUCUAAUUUUGCCCGAGAUAAUUCAUAAAUUAAACAAGUUAAUGUACAAAAAUCAAUAUCAAUAAUGACAGCUAACGCUAAUAAUAUUAUUCAUGAUCAGUUAAUCUUCUGAUUACUUUACCUAUUCAUAGUUUUGACGACAAAAUGUCAGAAAAUAGUGCAAGAUGCUAAUUAUAUUUGCUAAAAUUCCAAGUUCAAGUUCCUCGUUUUAUCAACGGUCCAAGAUCCAAAGAUUAUUAGCUACUAUUAGACAAUGAAAAACAGCAAAUCCUCAGAUUGGAGAAGCUGAAAUCAAAGAAUGUUUGGCAUUUUUGCUUCAAUCAAAUAAUUGACGAUUCAUUUUCUGUUGAUCAGCUAAUUGGUUAAUAAGAGAAUUAGCUUGGCUCUAGUAAUGUUAUUCUUGAAGUUAACAUGAUUAGCUAGCAGACAGUUAGCUAGCAGACAGUUAGCCAGUUACCCAACAGCUAGGGCUGCAACUAAUGACUAUUUUCAUUAUUGCUGUCUAUUAUUUAGCCUUCUCGAUUAAUCAAUUAGUUGUUAAAUGUCAGAAAAUUGUGGAAAAUGUCAAUCAUUGUUCCCCAAAUGUUAAGUAUCUUGUUUUGUCCACAACCCAAAGAUAUUCAGUUUACUGUCAUAGAGGACUAAAGAAACCAGAAAAUAUUCAUAUUUGAGAAGCUGUAAACAGAGAACAUGGACGUUUUUUUCUUAAUUGAUUUUCAAAAUAGAUGUUGAUUAAUUUAGGCCUAAUAGUUGAAAAAUAAUUGAUUAAUCAACUAAAGUGUUAUGAAAUAACUUGAAAUUGAAUUAGGCCUAUUAAAAAAUCAUGUGUAUCACAAUGUUUUAGCAAUUGGUAUCAGCAGCAUAUGCAGCAAAGCUAGUUUUUUGCUAAUUGUGCCUAGCUAGGUAGUUAGCUAGCUUGCUAGUCAGCUAACAUCUAGCUAGGUAGAAGCUACAACUAACCUAACUAGCUUUCUUAACUAAACUGCAGUUAUGAAUAUGGUUAAAAUGGAGUUUAUUUUGAUAAAUAUGAGCUCUUCCUUGAGUAAGAGAUUUUAUAGCCUAGGUCUAAAUUUUAUUUUUAAAAAUGUUCUCCCUGUUUUUGGUAGUACUUGUUUGUGUCUGUAAUUUAACAUUUUUGGCUGUACAAAAUGAGUUAUUAAAUAACUUUUGAAAUGUUAUUAUUGGUGGUCAUGUGUACACCUCAAAGUUUUGCAGAUGAAAUUAAAGAAUUCAUUAGGCCAUCAGUGUCCCUUGCCACUGCCAGCCCAAAGAUAAAAAUGGAUGGACUUCAGAUGAAAAGGUAGGAUUGAAAAGGCACGUUGAUGUACUCCAGUUUGUGGUGAUAUUUUCAUAGCGGACGUCUACCAAAACCAGCCACGGUUAUGUUCCAUUUACGUUUUUUCUACCACAUGGACAUCACAGAGAUAAUUACAAGACUGUUUUCCUACAUGGAACUAUACUGUAUAAGGUAAGUAUGUUAAACUUUAACACAAAUAGCUCUGAUUAUUUAAAACUAGUAAACAGCAGCUUAUAGCUACUAACAGUAACAGUGCACCUCACUUUCCAGUUUUCUUGCGAUAUUGCACAUUUUAGGCCUAAAUAUUAUUAGCUGAUGUUGAUUUAUGAUUAGUGACCACCUCUGGGGAACUGUGGCAUACAUGUUUGUGUUGGUAGCACUUAUUUCAGGUGAAGAUGCACAUUUCCAGAUAUCAAGUAGAGACCAACAUAAUGUUAACUUAAAAAGUACAGUUAAAUCUUUUCUUUGUGCAGGUGACAAAGGUACCCAAUGUAUGGGACUUCACCUGUGGCUGGCCAUAAUUCUUGUUAGUGUUGGGAGUAAUGUGACAUAGAGUAUAUAUUUUUUAUUUAAUUGGAAUAAGGUACUCUAAUAAAGAAAAAACAACAUCCAGGCCCUUAGAGUCAACCAAACAGAAGAGGCAGGAAUCUGAGACACAUGUCUAAAAACCUGGACAAAUAAAACCAAAGCUAGUAUAUCUGCACAUUGGUAAAUAAUAAAAUGAUCAUUUUGUGAUUUGUGUGAACCAACUCUAUAAACGUAGCAGUCUUUUGUGAUGUAAGAUUCAAUUGUUUUUGCUUUCACAUUCAGUAGGGGAACCGAAACAUUCAGGCUGUUUUGUCAGUGUUGAUCCAUCUCCCUGAAGCACAUGCAAAUAUGGUGGAAUUGAAGAGGCUGAACAGAAGGACAAAAGCUCCGGAAAAAGCUAGUAGGACGCUCUCUCCCCCUCUCACCGCGCUGUCUACCUCUCCACAUCUGCCGGCAGCCAAUGGGAUUACACAGCUGCUGCUACUGUACGCCGCACAGUAGCUACUGCACACCGACAGGAAGUAUUAGUGUACCAGAGAAGAUCACAGAGCCAAAAACAUCCCUUGUUGGAGUCUUUGAAGUCGCGUGUGUUCAUAUACGCAGUAAUUAGGCCACACUGGUUUGUUAAUGAGUGGUGUUGUGUGACAGUCACUAUGUUGGUAAUGGGUAAUUUUGCAUAAGGUGACUUGACAAAGUUAACUCCGUAGCGAUUAGCAUAACGUCACUGUUUGCUACAUUGUUGCUGUGUUGUUUGUUAUCAAGCACAGUUAUAUUGUUCAGACUACAGACUACUGUGACUGUAAUCAUUCGUGUGAUACUGUCGCCAUAUUCAGUUAUUGUUCUUAUUAUUACUAUUAUGUUUAUUAUCCAAGUUACGUAGCAGACAGGUGAAGGUGUAAUUCAUUCAGCUGAGGUGUAGCUUAUAUGUGAUGCCUAGCCCUAGGAUGAUGAAGGAACAUAAUUGUACACAAUGCAAACGUCACUAUUUAAGUCCAGCAGAGGGCCCUGUUGACUCUGAAAUGUUAAGUGUCCAUGCUCUAAUACAGUGUGGAGGUGGAUUUAUUAUGUUUAUUAGUAUUUGAUCAUUUGUAUUUGUUGCUAUAUGUACAUCAUGGUACUAGAUGAUUAUUCUUAUUUAUCCUUUGUCAGAACCACAUGUAAACUUCAACCAAAGAUAUGUGCUGAUGGUAGCAAAGCCAAAUAAACGUUCUGAACUUCAGUGGCAUCCGCCUGUGUUUCUGAUCGGACACCUUGCAGUGGGACAGCAAGUUGAACCACUUUGAGAGAGAGAAGCGGGGCAUUCUUAUUAAGCCACAGAACAGAACUUCUUGUUGGAUCAUUGAAAAGCUUCAGAAACCUCCUGCCCUCCCACACCUUUCCAACAUCAGACUUGGAGGUGCUGUGUCAGAUCAUUCCUGUAACUUUUCU
Thunnus maccoyii (southern bluefin tuna) is the source of this 3840-nucleotide long non-coding RNA. RefSeq lists it as uncharacterized. NCBI's taxonomy places the organism in Eukaryota, Metazoa, Chordata, Actinopteri, Scombriformes, Scombridae. The record is from RefSeq and is a predicted model, not a curated record. The transcript is spliced from 3 exons.